This is a long non-coding RNA of Marmota monax (woodchuck), 2122 nucleotides long. RefSeq lists it as uncharacterized. NCBI's taxonomy places the organism in Eukaryota, Metazoa, Chordata, Mammalia, Rodentia, Sciuridae. The record is from RefSeq and is a predicted model, not a curated record. The transcript has 3 exons.
AUGAUUCUGUAAUGAGUUUAUUCAGGACAGAGGAAAAUAAAUUUUAUAAGGGUAACUUUCGGUUAUUUCAAAUGCAAUCUAACUUAAAAUAAUUAGUAAUGAACUUUGGAAAAUAAUUUUAAUAUAGUUAAAAACUGGAAUUGGUACUAAGUAUUUUUUAAUGUUUCUGAGAGAUAUGAGACAUGUAAGAAUAAGCUAUAUUUGGUUGAUAAAAUUAUUCUGAAAAAAAUUCUUAAACUUUGGAAAGCUGAACUUCUAAAUCUAUAACUGUCAUCUAACCUCUCCUCAGGAAGAACUUUUCUGAGGUAGCGACUUUCUUCUGGUUCCAGUUUUUACAGAUUUCCAGUCAGUUUUCAACUUUCAAUGAAAAGAUUUUUGUGGAUGAGGAUUAUCUGGUCACAAAAGAUUCCUCCUUCAGGGAAAUUUGGUUCCUCUGAUCAACAAUAUUUUGGGCCUGCAUUUUCUCCAGCAGUGAACAGGUGGGCAAAGCGAAGGAAUGUGACGUAUCCUUGUCCUCAGAGGCCAGACAGGGCUGCAGGUAUCAAGUGCAGAUCUGCCGAUUAAUUGGAUAUGGAGAAAGAGAGCACCAGCAGGAGUAUCAAGAUAGAGGGUGGUAUAUUUGGUAAUAAUUUCAGUAAAUCGAGCCAAAAAGAGGACAGGGUUUUCAUCAGGUCCUUGGGUGAGUUCCCUAAUCUUGUCAUAAUUAACCUGGGUAUGAGAAUUUUUUUCUCAUGCCAUCAAGGAGGCAAGUAGUCAUGUGUUGGAUUUUAGUGAGCCUGGCAUCUUGAGAUUGGUAUGUCCAUUAGGUUCAGCUGUAGGGAUGGCAGCACAUGCUGCGGGAUUGGUAAAGGGGUUUUGAGUACUGGAGGAGGUAGGCAUGCUCUUUAGCUGCUUGCCAGAUUCAGGCACGAUUAUCAGGGGUCAGGGUGGAAGUUAGGAUAUAGUAAUAUAUAUUUGACAUACUUUUGAAGCUGAAAUUUCAAAAUUAGAAGAUUAUGAGCAUCACUUUUUUCUAGUGAAUACUUGAGAAAUAAUUGGCCAGUGCCUUGUUCUGUCCCCAUGUAAACAAAUGGAAAAGAAUCCAAGUUAGACAAAUACUUCAAGUGCUUCAUGUGUAUUAGAAAACAAUAAACCAAAAAGGAGAGGUGAAAGUUCCAUCUGGUGGUUAACACAAAAUUCCAGGAAUUCACAUUAUCAUACUUCACUUGACUGAGCAGUACUGGAAUUUUCAGUUUAGAAAAAAAUCUGUGUGUUCUGAAGUAGAAAGGAAACUACCAGCUGUUACAUAGUAGUAAUAUUUAGGGUAAUUAAUGGUGGAAGACAAAGUCUUUCAUAGGGUAUUUAGAAUACUUGUCCCAAGAUAAUCACUGCAAAAAGUUAGAAGGUCAAAUAUCUUUUGAGAGUAUACUUAAAUCCCUUAUUUGAAGACUCAUGGGUAUUAACAUUAAAAUCUGUGACAAGUCAAGAGACUUAUUUCAUAUAAUUUAACUUGGUGUUUCCUGACUUUAUUUGACCAUGGAAUCUCUCCCUUUUUCUUUCUUUUUUUUUAAUCUCUAAUUUUGAAAAAUGCUAGUUUGAGAAUGUAAUGAUCUUAAGGGCAUUUGCUUUAUAAAAAAAACUUUUUAAAAGAAGGGUCUUGAACAGACGCUUCUCAGAAGAUGAUAUACAAUCAAUCAACAAAUAUAUGAAAAAAUGUGGGGCUGUGGUUGUGGCUCACCGGUAGAGUGCUUGCCUAGCAUGUGCAAGGUCCUGGGUUCGAUCCUCAGCACCACAUAAAAAUAAAAUAAAGAUAUUAAAAAAAAUUUAAAAAUGUUCAUCAUCACUAGCAAUUAGAAAAAUGCAAAUCAAAACCACUCUAAGUUUUCAUCUUACUCCAAUAAGAAUGGCAGCUUUUAUGAAGACAAACAACAAUAAGUGUUGGUGAGGAUGUGGAGAAAAAGGCACACUCAUACAUUGUUGGUGGGACUGCAAAUUGGUGCAACCAAUAUGGAAAGCAGUAUGGAGAUUUCUUGGAAAAUUGGGAAUGGAACCACCACUUGACCCAGCUAUCCUGCUUCUUGGUUUCUACUCAAAGGACUUAAAAACAGCAUACUACAGGGACACAGCCACAUCAAUGUUUAUA